RNAcentral lists this ribosomal RNA (352 nucleotides) under uncultured bacterium. RNAcentral describes it as "bacterial SSU rRNA". It matches the Rfam family "Bacterial small subunit ribosomal RNA", at positions 1 to 350 of the family's 1533-position model. The record is from RNAcentral.
UCAGAGUUUGAUCUGCUCAGGAUGAACGCUAGCUACAGGCUUAACACAUGCAAGUCGAGGGGAAACGACAUCGAAAGCUUGCUUUUGAUGGGCGUCGACCGGCGCACGGGUGAGUAACGCGUAUCCAACCUGCCCACCACUUGGGGAUAACCUUGCGAAAGUAAGACUAAUACCCAAUGACGUCUCUAGAAGACAUCUGAAAGAGAUUAAAGAUUUAUCGGUGGUGGAUGGGGAUGCGUCUGAUUAGCUUGUUGGCGGGGUAACGGCCGCCAAGGCUACGAUCAGUAGGGGUUCUGAGAGGAAGGUCCCCCACAUUGGAACUGAGACACGGUCCAAACUCCUACGGGAGGCA